Molecule: long non-coding RNA, 586 nt
Filed under: Homo sapiens (human)
Lineage: Eukaryota; Metazoa; Chordata; Mammalia; Primates; Hominidae
Description: non-protein coding lnc-PIP4P1-2:2
Source: RNAcentral
GUAAGCCAGUGGGGCUGCAGAGAACAUAAAAUGUGGGUGAAUUUUUGGGAAGCCAUGGAGGUGGAGGGAGGAAAUAGUAAAUGAGCUUCUUAUGCUUCCUGCAUAUCUGAUUUCAUCCUCUUCCAUUCCCUCCUUCCUUAUUUUUUUCUUCUGCUAGAUUUCUAACGACCCAAGUCCAGGAUACAACAUUGAACAGAUGGCAAAGCGGUAAGGGGACAUAAGGUGGAAGCAGGCUGGCUGCUGGGGCUUCAGGGAUUUCCCCAUAUACGGUAUAUAUUAACAAAAUUUGGGACGGGCUUUGGAGGGUGAGAAGCCAGCUGACUGUAGGCUUAGUGCCUCGUACGCUUAUUCCCACAUAGAGGCAAGAAGCUAGUUGAGCUGCCAUACACUGUAAAGGGGAUGGACGUCUCAUUCUCAGGGAUCCUGUCUUUCAUUGAGGAUGUAGCCCAUCGGAUGCUGGCCACAGGCGAGUGUACUCCUGAGGAUCUGUGUUUCUCCCUGCAGGUAAUGCAGUAAAAAACUGGGACAGAAAGUUGGGGCUGAAGGUUUUAUAUUGUAGAGCAGAACUAAUCUGGGAUGCCCCUCU